GCUACGGGUGGCAGCAGUGGGGAAUAUUGGACAAUGGGGGGAACCCUGAUCCAGCGACGCCGCGUGAGUGAAGAAGUAUUUCGGUAUGUAAAGCUCUAUCAGCAGGGAAGAAAGAAAUGACGGUACCUGACCAAGAAGCCCCGGCUAACUACGUGCCAGCAGCCGCGGUAAUACGUAGGGGGCAAGCGUUAUCCGGAUUUACUGGGUGUAAAGGGAGCGUAGACGGUAAUGCAAGUCUGGAGUGAAAUGCAGGGGCUCAACCCCUGAACUGCUUUGGAAACUGUAUGACUGGAGUGCAGGAGAGGUAAGUGGAAUUCCUAGUGUAGCGGUGAAAUGCGUAGAUAUUAGGAGGAACACCAGUGGCGAAGGCGGCUUACUGGACUGUAACUGACGUUGAGGCUCGAAAGCGUGGUGAGCAAACAGGAUUAGAUACCCGAGUAGUC
RNAcentral lists this ribosomal RNA (443 nucleotides) under uncultured bacterium. RNAcentral's name for it is "partial 16S ribosomal RNA". It matches the Rfam family "Bacterial small subunit ribosomal RNA", at positions 338 to 795 of the family's 1533-position model. The record is from RNAcentral.